This is a long non-coding RNA of Spea bombifrons (plains spadefoot toad), 1062 nucleotides long. RefSeq lists it as uncharacterized. The record is from RefSeq and is a predicted model, not a curated record. Lineage: Eukaryota; Metazoa; Chordata; Amphibia; Anura; Pelobatidae. The transcript is spliced from 2 exons.
AUGGCAGUGAGCAGGUGGUGAAUGGUUGGGGGUUGCAUCAAUGAAAUGGAGGGAGGCUGUUGAAAAAAUGUUAGCAUUGGAGGGAGAGAAUAUAAUCAUUUUAAUCUUGGAUAGAUUGAGUUUUUGGAAUUGCGCAGCCAGCAAGCUAAAAACAAAGGCGAGGCAAUUAGUGACACACAAUCAUUGCGUCACUAAUUGGCUGGGGUAAGCAGUGAUGAGUACACUGCCAGUCUUUGAAUGGCAAAGGCUGGCAACAUCCAAUCCAGAGUCUGUAUGUUUAAAAGUCAACAAAUGUGCUUAACAAGUGAUUAGGAAUAAAAAUGUAACAAAUCAUAAAUCUGGUGCCCAGGGUAUAGAUGUGAUUUUGUAAGUGUUACUUAUUGCAGUUGAAACAAAAUCAUUGUUCAGGAGUCAAAAUCAACAAACUAGAUAGUUACACUCCUGUUGUGUAGUGUAAAUAAUUCUAGUCAAACAUAUAUUGUACAGAAAUAGAGGAACAAGAGUUGACUAAUGAGAAGAAUGUAAUAUUAGGAGUAUAUAAAUCACAAUGUGGGACUUAAUGCAAACUAAAGCCCUGGGAAUCCAAAUUGCAGGAGCAGGGUGAGCUAUUCCUACAGGAAUCUAUAGAAUCAGUAAAGUCCAUAUUUCACAACAGGGCAGGUGAUGAAUUAACAAACAAAGGUAACUUUAGUCCAGAGAAUGAACUACUGAAAUCUUCAAGUACUUUUAAUAAUGUGUAUUUGCUUUGAUUACCGGUUUCCAUGCUAUAUUAGCUGACGGUAGUAACUUUUAUUGUACUUUAGCUUCUGGGAAUAACACUCAUUAACAAUGACUUAUAAUUUUUAAAAUAAACCUUCCAAUAUAAAAGAACACAGUAUUUUGCAAAACAUUGUAAAUAAAAGACUACUUGGUAUGCAGAUGUUUUUCUUUAUGUUUCAUCAGAUGAUGAAUUGUCUUCCUAUUUAUUGUUAUUCAUUUUGUAAUAUAAUAAAAAUCAAAAACAAAGCAUUUCUGUAACCCACACCUUUGAUAGAAAUGACAAAGUCACAUAAAAAAUAAAAA